CAGGAUCCCACAAAACAGUUUAUACUUGUUUUUACAAUAUGGCAUGUGCUCUGGCAAAAUAGAUCCCGUAAAAAAAAUUCAUGUCAGACGUGGAGCCCAUUGACUACAAAACAGGAUCUCUAAGAAAUAGCACAAGACACCCUGAAACGAAAUCUAGAUUACGAUUGGGUCCAGGCCGCUCCAAUGCAACGACACAUCUGUAUGAGCCCCGACUGCCUCGAGCUUCGCUUCAGUCGCCUUGAGCUCUUGUACGAGCUUCGCUUCGGCCAUCUCGAGUGUACAAGUUCCGCGCCGCACCGGCCGCCUCGAGCUCCAGCUAGUCGGGGUCGAGAUGCCCCGCAGGCCGCCAGGAGCUCCUAUACGAGCUCCACUUCCCACUGCGAUAGGCUGGCAGUGUUGAUGCGGCUGCGCCCUCGCCCUACCGCUUCUCUUUCAUUCGACCGGAAUCGAGCUCGGGAGGCGGCGCCGCCGGUGACGUCGAACUGCGACGAGAGCUGUUGGGGCUAAAAUUUCUCUCCCACCAAGUCAUCGGAGGGAUAGAGAAAAAGAGGAAGGAAACCUGGAAGCGAAAAGAUUGGAAUCAAUCGAUCGAUCACACGCGUCGCGUCUGCCGGCUCCUACGUCCAACACGUGUCCCAUGAGAAACAAACUGAGCAACGCACUGGCUUUAUCCUUAUCUACUCGAUGCAUCUCGUCCACUCGUUACUUUUCACCGCCCAGGUCGCCGGUUCGUUUCUUCCUCCAUCUUUCUAGCAUCUGCUAACUUGUAGCAACCCUCCAGGAUUUCCACGAGCCGCCACUGCCACAAGUGUCGCUCCAAGUAAGCAAUCCAUGCGCAAUGCUUAGAGGUUGGACCGCCGAGCUGCUGCGAGCCGACCGCCGAUGUCCCUCGAUGCUGCAACGGGCUGUCAGGUGCGUGUGCAGGUGCUCGACAGCGGCGUGGCCGUUGAGGCAUUCGCCGACGCCCAGUUCUACAAUCCAGACAUGGGGGUGUUGCACGUCAUGCCCCUACUCUUCUUUCCUGGCUUUCCUGCUCGCCAUAAUCUCUCUCCCCCAUAACUAGUUUUUGCAACAAGGCUUUUGUUGCAAAAGGGCUAUGUAUUGUUGCAGAAAUUUCCUGCAAUAGCAACUUUGUUGCAGAAUUAUUUUUUUUGCAACAAAUCCUCUAUUGCAGAAAUUUUCUGCAACAGCAUCCUUGUUGCAAAGGCACGUGGG
Molecule: ribosomal RNA, 1215 nt
Filed under: Triticum aestivum (bread wheat)
Lineage: Eukaryota; Viridiplantae; Streptophyta; Magnoliopsida; Poales; Poaceae
Description: partial small subunit ribosomal RNA
Source: RNAcentral